GACGAACGUUGGCGGCGUGCUUAAUACAUGCAAGUCAACUGAAGCAGUGGUAGCAAUAUCGCUGUGGAGGUGGCGCACGGGUGAGUAACACGUAGGUAAUCUGCCUUCAGGUCUGGCAUAACUCCGGGAAACCGGGGCUAAUAGCAGAUGAUGCAGCGGCUCGACAUCGAGACAGUUGUUAAAGCUAUGGUGCCUGAAGAUGAGCCUGCGUCUGAUUAGCUAGUUGGCGGGGUAACGGCCCACCAAGGCAACGAUCAGUAGCUGGGCUGAGAGGAAGAUCAGCCACACAGGAACUGUGACACGGUCCAGACUACUACGGGAGGCAGCAGUAAGGAGUAUUGCUGAAUGGGAGAAAUCCUGAAGCAGCAACGCCGCGGGAGGGACGAAGGUCUUUUGCUUGUAAACCUCUGUAGUGAGGGAAAAAAAUCCCAAUCUUUGUGACAUGAUGUUAUCUCAAAAGUAAGCCCCGGCUAACUACGUG
Molecule: ribosomal RNA, 481 nt
Filed under: uncultured bacterium
Lineage: Bacteria
Description: partial 16S ribosomal RNA
Rfam family: Bacterial small subunit ribosomal RNA
Source: RNAcentral